RNAcentral lists this long non-coding RNA (1018 nucleotides) under Takifugu rubripes (torafugu). Its description in RNAcentral is "lncRNA (ENSTRUG00000026078.1)". Lineage: Eukaryota; Metazoa; Chordata; Actinopteri; Tetraodontiformes; Tetraodontidae. The record is from RNAcentral.
CACGGCACGGUCAGAAUGGGACCAAGAGCAGAAGAUUCCACUUUGGUGAAACUUCCUGGUUCCAUCUAGAAGCUUGAUUGUUUAUCGUUGGGAGGUGGGGCCACUUUCAACAUAAGAUCAAAGCCCCACUUCCAAGGGGCUUUGAUCAUAAAGCAGCUUUAUGCUUGUACUGCUGCUGCCUCAUAUCAACUAUUACAGCUUUACUGGUCCAAACGUUUGAAAGUUGAACAACCUCGUUCCAAGAACAUAAAGAUCCGUCCACCUCAAGACUCUCACCAACUGAUCCGGUAUCCCAGGUUCCUCCAGCCGAGAUCAAGAUGAACAGAACUCUCUUCUACCUGCUCGCAGUCGGACUCUGCUGCGCCAUCGGGUGGUUUUGAUCCGAGCAGCCCCCCAGGUCCAGUCCCAGUUUAGGGCGAGGCCGUCCGGGUCCUCGCAGACGUUCCUAAAAAGCUCAGUCGUGUCUCAACCUGCCAGCUGCUCCAGGAAUUCCUCAGCCUGGAACAUAAAGUGGGUCCGGACACACAGCCCCCGAACUAUUGUCCCGUUUCCUCUGUUAUGUGACCGAGGCGGCUCUGGUUCGGCCCACGCCCUUCUGACCGAUAUCCAGGAUGUCGUUGAUGACAAAUGUGACUUCGACAGAGGAAAAGUCUUUCAGGCUUCUUGUUUUUGAGGUUUUUCCAGACGAUAAUUACACGCUGAAGUACACAAAGAACAGGAAUCUUGUUGGGAUCUGACUAGAUCACACAGGUGAUCUAGUCACCAACCUCCGCAGGGACAAAGCCUGACAAGCCAAUUCUUAUUGGGGAUUUUUAAUUAAUAAUUGCUAAAUUCUCUAACAUUCUUUCAAUCUCCCUUUUUCAUAAGAAAAAAAAAGGAUAGCAGGAAGUUUUCCAGGGAACUUGUCUGAUGAGAUUAAUAUUAGCAAUGAUUUUGAUUACGCUACGUUGCGUAAUUGAGUUGAGGCCUUUUGUAACCUGUGAAACGUGUCAGUAAAUGUCUUUAGUUUAGAUAAAAG